GUUCCACUAUAGAAUCACCGUAAAUAACAAAACUAUAAAAACUCGUUUUAAAACACUUUACAUAAACAAACAGCAAAAUUAUAACUUGACAACUUUUCUUUAUCUCAUUAUACCUAAUUUCACCAAAAAUUUUAACUAUUAUUGCAAUAACAUCUUUCAGCGUUGAAUGUUGCAGACUUAAAAUCAUAGAGAGAGUCCUGAUGACAUAAUAAAAGUUUCCAAUUACCCAGGCAUGUGUUUUGCGAUGAAUGUGUGAUCGUUGAAUAUAUGAAGUUUUGUGCCUUUUUUCCGCCAUUUGCUCUUUUGUGCAAGAGACAAGGGUACGAGGUAGUGUCUGAAAUGUGAUAAAAUGUCACAAUGAUGAACUACUCUUAUUACAAAACUAUUUAAGGUCAUUUUUUCCACUCCCCAGAAUACUUGCUUUUUAAUUCCAUUUUCUAGAGUCUCUAGCACCAGAGUCGACGCUUCAUUGAUGUAUGUUCUGGUCGACGUUCCACUUAUCGCAGAUGCCUCGCUGAGACUCGACCUUCUCGAGAGUUCCUCUUUUCCUGGUACACAAGCUAUUCAAAAGAGAUAUCCAAAGGAAUAAGGAAACAAGGAUAAAGCCUCACCGGAUCCUGGAUCCCUCGCUCUGUCAGCGGAUAUCGAUCUUGAGUGCGCUUCCUCGUGAUUCGUGUCACCUUCGGGACCAGCUGAUCGACUUCUCGUUUUUGAUCUACCAAGACGUCGCUUUAUCGUGCCGAAAAAGUCUCGCCGUUUCCUCCUCGUUCUUCCACGUUCUGCGAAACACAAAUUACCAGUAGAAAGGACGAUUGGAGCAUUGGAAAAGUCUCAAGGAUAUCGAUUAACUUGCAUUUUUCAUUUCAUUUUUACAUUAGGGAGAAAUGAUCCGUGCAAUUUCACUCUGCGAAGCUAUAAAUUUGAAGUAGUGAGCGAAAAAGAAAUCAAGCUUCGAUAUUCACCUCUCAUGCUUUCAGAAUUUGAUGAAUUAGGCGUGCUUUCCGGUCCUGAUGUGGCGCUUGUAUCCCUGUUCCCAUGCUACAAAAAGACCAAAAUAACGAUUUAAAAUCAAAGCAUAAUUUGUCAGAAAAUAAUCAACUCGAGGAGCUAUGAACGAGUUUAACUUCGACACCAGCAGAAUAUUGAAAAAAUGUGAUUGGACGAAAAAUCUUUCGAAUAUUUUCUGCACUUUCCAAUAUUCGAAUCUCUUUUUCCUCAAUUGACUUUCUGAGAAGUACAAUUUAUUGCACAUUAUUUUAUUCGUUAUCAAAAAAUUCGUAUGGUUCCAAGUCUUUUAGUGUACAAAGGAACAAAAACCUACGAGGAAAAAUAAGGUCACGAGUUCUAAGUUUGAGAAUUGCAAUCAAGUUUUUGAAGGAACGAUAAAAAAGGAAUUACCUCUGGCGAAAUUUCCUGCCAACUUCCAUUGUGCGAUAGAGCGACCUGUUGGAUUAGUAAACACACGGCAUUCACGACAUGUUAAUGCGAGUAAGGGAAAAUGAAGAAGAAUUGUGAGUGUAUUUUUCUAGUUUUCGAGCGAUCUUGAAAUUCUGGAAUUGAGCCAAUAAUCGUGGACGGAUAGCAAAUCUUUUCUCUCUGUCCCCGAAAGUGCCAACGUACAAAUUGUUUUUAUUCGGUUGUAAUGCAACGAUACACCGUGCUCGUAUAAACUUUGCUGCAACGUUUCAAACUUUUUGUCUCAUAAAACAAAGAUUCUCCGCACUGCAGUUCAGAACAGAAAAGUUCAGCAAAAUUCCAAUUUUUUAAAUUUCUUGUCACUUUUAAAUUCUUACCUUUACUACCUGUCGUUCCGAUUGCUAAAAAAAAAUCACAGCAAUUCACAAAUUAAUAAAAAAAAAAAAUGAAAAAUUCAGGUAAACUUGUAUGAAUUGUAAAAUCGCACCUCAAAAUUCACACGGAAAAGGGAAAAGUGCGAGGAAAAAAAACUCAAUCUCACCCUCUGUUGACUGUGAACGAUGAGAGUUCCUUUAUUCCCGUUCGUUUGACCGGUUCGAUAAGGCGAUUCCUCGGUAUUGCCGUUUGUUAAAAAGUCUGAAAAAAAAUCGUGUGGAGUAACGAACUGAUCAUUCGUCAUACGUGCCCUCGAUCAUAUAAAUUUUUCCUCGUUACUGAGUCAUAGUGAGAAAGAAAUAAAAGUCACGAAAGUGGACGAAAUAACGAAAAAUAAAUUUUUCAAGAAUUUUCUUUGCAAUACCCGGGUCGGCUUUCCCCGCAAUCAAAAUGAUUGCUCGAGACUUCGAUCCAUGGGGAAAAGGACGAAUUUCAAGAAUUUUUGUGAACAUUAUUUCCGUCCAGUUUCGAAUAAUCCUUCGAAAAACGCUCCCAAAUAUAAAGUAAAGUUCAAUCCGUUAUGAUGCGAAAAACCUAAUUCUCACUGAGCAAAUCAGCGGGGUAGGAAGGCGAAAGAAAAUCGAAUUCGCCAGAAAUCAUUAAAAUGGAAAUGAAAAAGCUUUGGGACGUGAAAUCAUGCUGUCAACCAUUCGGAAAUCUAUAGGUUUCUAAUAUUCAUGAAAAAAUCCCGGGUAGUGUAAAACGCCAAAUUUCUCGUUAUUAGCUUCCAGCGACUUGUUGUUGUUUUCAUACUCUUGUUUCCAUAAAAGUUUGGUUUCGGCUUUUUUUUUGAAUAUUUUAUAGAAGGAACGUGCCCUACGAGACUAGAGGUUCCACGCAGGGAUAAUCAAUACGUUCCAGAUAUGUAAUAAACGUUAAUUACCGCCGGCAGAUUGACUGGUAGAGUCGUACAAGAUAAGUGUGCUGUUACCAUUGUUAUAAUUUAGGCUACUAUUGCUGAGUAGAUUGGUCGGGCUGUAUGUUCGUGUUGGUGAUAACGGCUUUAUGGAUUCCUUAACUUUGAAAGGUUUCGAGCCGAUUUGGGGUACUUCGGCGCCCUCGAUGAACAGAAACUGCAAAUAAUCAAAUUGUUAAAAAUAUAUUUUCAGAUAAAUGGCGUCAAACUUUCGGGCUCAUCAAUGUUUUUUCAUUGAAUUGUGAAAAUGUCAUCCGAAGAUCUGGUCGAUUUUGAAAAUCCAAUAAACAGGAUUCGUCGGGAAGGAUAAUUGAAUGAAAAAAGUGAAGCAAAUGGUAACCUCGACUGUCAGAGUUCCAGUAACUUCGUCCGCCUCGUACGGACGAGCCUGAAGUGGAAUAAUUUGUCUCUGGCUCGGAUUAGCGAGAAGUUCCUCUACCCCGACGAUACCGAGGCCCAAAAAUCUUUGAGCCUUAUUCACGUGAUCGUAAAUUUCCAAUAAGACCUCGGACGUGUUGUGGCUGAUGUCGCUGAAAAUUGUUUCAAAGCGUGGUGGCUCAUCCAACUCGACGACGCAGUAUGGUUCGCGACAACCCUCUGCACCCCCCAAUUCAGCAGCCUUAACGACCUUGACGAGGAGACGUCUUUCCCCGGGUGCGUAUUGAUGGAUCGUGGAGGCCGAUGAAUGGCACGAACGAGCCAAUUUGUUUUCGGACAAAGCAAAAUCCGACAGUCAAAGGCAGCGAUGCUUGUCUUUCUGUCGAUUUGAGAAGCGCCAGAAGCUGCGUUGGGGUGAUUUUUACUCCGUUGCGGAGUCCACGACAACAUUUCAUGCAUUCAUCAUUCACUCGAAGAAAAAAUACUCAAAGAUCAGCGUGUUACACGGGCUACUUCAGCAGCGAAAGCCUCAACAGAGUUUCUGAGCUUCCUGCACUAUAGAAGUCUGCGAAGGGAAUCAUAUCGAUAGUCUAACGGAUUCGGAAUUAAAAGAGGACGUAAACCUUUGGAAAUGUCGGAUCCCACCCUGAGUCAGAGAAGUUGUCUAGAUAAGUAGAUGUUGUCAAGGCCAAAUGAUCCGAUUCACUCUGUGGAGAGCAUAGGGAAAAAGCCCUCUGCAGACUAAGCAGGAGCAAUCAAAAUUGUUUCUUUAUGAUUCUCCAAAACUUUCUUUGAUUUAACUGCUUUAUGAAAAAAUAUUUGAAGAAAGGACUUUGUGUUGUACAUGGAUUCGGUCACAUCUGGCAGAUUUUCCACGUAUCCCAACAUUCUUUCUGAGGCCCAAUCAGCUAUUUCAUUUUUUUCAGAUAGCCUCUUUUGGAAACCACGCUCACUUUUCCCGAGUCGGUAGAUUUUUCGGUAAAAACUUUUUUCCUUUUUUUUCUACUCAUUUCGAGAUGAAAUCUUUACCAAAUGGGAUCUCAUUACAUUGGGCAUCUCAUUACAUUCUCGUCCUUCGUUAUAAAAAAUGGAAGAGCACCGUGUACAUCUAAUCGUAAUUGUCGCAUACAAGUAAUAUUUUAUGCAACUACAAAAAUCAAGAUAGUUAUUUACAACAAUAAAGGGGCGGGGGGUCGCGUUCGAAAUAAAAAUUGAUCGUGGGGCUCUAGGGUUAGCUACUCUUCCUCAUAGUUAAGCCAUCUUAUACAUAACAUUUAUUUAUUAUUCAAAAAUGUCUACAACGUUUAGAAAUUGUGUUGAAAAUUCGAGAGAUUUGUGUUAUGUCGAGAAGAAUGAUGUGAAAGUUUGA
This 4514-nucleotide long non-coding RNA is filed under the name Venturia canescens. RNAcentral describes it as "uncharacterized LOC122413988". The record is from RNAcentral. Lineage: Eukaryota; Metazoa; Arthropoda; Insecta; Hymenoptera; Ichneumonidae.